CCCUUAGAUGUUCUGGGCCGCACGCGUGCUACACUGAUGCAUUCAACGAGUCUAAAACCUGGUCUGAUAGGGCUGGGUAAUCUUUUGAAAGUGCAUCGUGAUUGGGAUAGAUGAUUGCAAUUCUUCAUCUUCAACGAGGAAUGCCUAGUAAACGCAAGUCAUCAGCUUGCAUUGAUUACGUCCCUGCCCUUUGUACACACCGCCCGUCGCUCCUACCGAUUGAAUGAUCCGAUGAAUACCAUGGAUUGAGAGUACGAAUAGGUUCGCUUAUUUCUGCUGCUCGAGAAGUGGAGUAAAUCUUAUCAUUUAGAGGAAGGAAAAGUCGUAACA
RNAcentral lists this ribosomal RNA (330 nucleotides) under uncultured eukaryote. RNAcentral describes it as "partial 18S ribosomal RNA". It matches the Rfam family "Eukaryotic small subunit ribosomal RNA", at positions 1470 to 1796 of the family's 1831-position model. The record is from RNAcentral.